This 162-nucleotide ribosomal RNA is filed under the name uncultured bacterium. RNAcentral describes it as "partial 16S rRNA". It matches the Rfam family "Bacterial small subunit ribosomal RNA", at positions 355 to 511 of the family's 1533-position model. The record is from RNAcentral.
UGGGGAAUAUUGCACAAUGGGCGCAAGCCUGAUGCAGCCAUGCCGCGUGUAUGAAGAAGGCCUUGGUUGUAAAGUACUUUCAGCGGGGAGGAAGGCGUUGAGGUUAAUAACCUCAGCGAUUGACGUUACCCGCAGAAGAAGCACCGGCUAACUCCGUGCCAC